AUUGGUUGGUAGACAGAUGGAGGAGAUGAUUGGUUGGUAGACACAUGGAGGAGAUGAUUGGUUGGUAGACACAUGGAGGUGUUGUGGGAGAUGAUUGGUUGGUAGACAGAUGGAGGAGAUGAUUGGUUGGUAGACACAUGGAGGUGUUGGGGAGAUGAUUGGUUGGUAGACACAUGGAGGUGUUGUGGGAGAUGAUUGGUUGGUAGACACAUGGAGGUGUUGUCACGCCUCCCUGCAAGGUCACGCUGAGGUAGUUAGACACACCUCCCUGCAAGGUCACGCUGAGGUAGUUAGAGACACACCUCCCUGCAAGGUCACGCUGAGGUAGUUAGACACACCUCCCUGCAAGGUCACGCUGAGGUAGUUAGACACACCUCCCUGCAAGGUCACGC
Oncorhynchus tshawytscha (Chinook salmon) is the source of this 392-nucleotide long non-coding RNA. The record is from Ensembl. Lineage: Eukaryota; Metazoa; Chordata; Actinopteri; Salmoniformes; Salmonidae.